This 355-nucleotide ribosomal RNA is filed under the name uncultured bacterium. RNAcentral describes it as "partial 16S ribosomal RNA". It matches the Rfam family "Bacterial small subunit ribosomal RNA", at positions 527 to 881 of the family's 1533-position model. The record is from RNAcentral.
GUAUGGNGCANGCGUUAUCCGGAUUUACUGGGUGUAAAGGGNGCGUAGNNGGCNNUGCAAGUCNGAUGUGAAANUCCGGGGCUCAACUCCGGAGCUGCAUUUGAAACUGUAUAGCUUGAGUNCNGGAGAGGNANGCGGAAUUCCUAGUGUAGCGGUGAAAUGCGUAGAUAUUAGGAGGAACACCAGUGGCGAAGGCGGCUUACUGGACGGCAACUGACGUCGAGGCUCGAAAGCGUGGGGAGCAAACAGGAUUAGAUACCCUGGUAGUCCACGCGGUAAACGAUGAAUACUAGGUGUUGGGGGACAAAGUCCUUCGGUGCCGCCGCAAACGCAUUAAGUAUUCCACCUGAGUAGU